Long non-coding RNA from Sander lucioperca (pikeperch), 2225 nucleotides. RefSeq lists it as uncharacterized. The record is from RefSeq and is a predicted model, not a curated record. The transcript is spliced from 3 exons. NCBI's taxonomy places the organism in Eukaryota, Metazoa, Chordata, Actinopteri, Perciformes, Percidae.
AUGAUAGUGGAUCUAGCUAAAAUAGAAAUGCACAUGCUCAUGGAUGGAUACUCCAGUGGUGAUUCCUAUAGUUCACCCAAGUGCUUUUACCUGAGGUGUUUGAGGCCUUCCUGCUGUUUGUGACAAUAAUCUGUGUCACAGUUGUAACGCUCAUUGAACUCAAAAUGUGUGAAGAUUUUGGAUCGCAGUGGGACCAGAGAGCAUGAGUGGACUUAAUAGCCUAUGUGUAGAAAGUUAAAUAAAAUAUGCUUUGAGAAUGAACGUGCAGAGAAGUUGAACCUGCAGCAGAUUGAGGAGGACUUCCGGUGCCCUAAACUCACGACGUUCAUACAGAACUCUUCGCUGAGAAUUCUUCAACGAGACGAGGUUUUGACGCACCGGAGAUAAAUGAAUAAGCCCAUGGAGCGUGGGGAUAUAGAAAAUAUCAACUUUUUUCUCCAUCUGAUCGCUCUAAGUGGAGGACAUUUGUAGACAUUUGUGGUUAUUCUUUACCCAUGGAUUAGUCAGAAGCGAUCCGUGGGUAAACCUUCGUGGGAUAUUUUGGCUGCAUGAAGAGGCUGGCUUGUUGAGGCGCCCCUCCAUCGCGUAUUCCACCGGGAGAAGAACUGGGCGCAUGGUAAAGUGAAGCAUAUAUACUCUCGUAGAAAUGUUAGUAUUUUAGCCUGCAGGUGAUUAACUGUUGCAAUUGGGCUUGAAAACAGACACGCCUUUUGGAUACAGCGUCUGGGAAUAACAAGUUCAGCUCUGAAAUUGGUGUCGGAAUGGUCUGAAAAGAUGUGAAGUGUUCCUUGUGCCAAUUUGGAAAUGGAAAAAAGAAGAUGCGAUGUAAAAACAUGCUAGAUUGGACAAAUAUUUUUCUCCUGCUUCGUGGGAUUUUUUUGCAGUGUGCUCAGUCAACGUGACCGUGGUCAACAAAAGUGUUCCCAAAUUCUUUAGCGCAUACAGCUUAAAGUAGAACACAAAAUUAUUAAUUUUCUUUGACAUUUACUGGCACGAAAUGGUUGUUUGGGAGCCCCAAAGUUAAACUUGGCGGGUAAAAAACCCUGAGAAUUGCCGUUUGAUUUUUUUUUUUUUUUUUGCUUUCUGGAAAUGUGAGUCCAGUGGAGACCAGUGCGCACCACACAGUCGCCAAGGCUGCAACGCACAACCCAAUUUUCCAUCGGGGAACCGGGCUUUGCAUCGCAGCAUCGCAACGACGUCCUCGCCUUUUCUCGCCGAAAUGCCUCUGUGUGCACCGAUUCCAUAAAUGGCCAGGGGAUACUGAUUCUCCAUGGUGUUCACCGGCCAGGUGUCUCGGAUAAGGCGAAACGUUGGCUGUUUUGUUCAGUAAAUCCUGGACACACCUUUUUUAAUGUCAGUCAAGAUCUCGGCUUGGUUGCCAUGACGAGCGAGGAGUGUCCUGUGCCGCUGGGGAGCAUUUCCUCAGCAGGGCCAGGGCAGAGUGAGGAAUACGGCUUGGCGCAGGCUGAUGACAUCAUUGAGGAAGUGGGUUCAGGUGAUGACGUCAGUAUCGGCAGUGACCUAAGCACUCUUGUGUUGCCCUACCCAGAGCUGGCACCUGUGGUCUUCUUCUGCCUAAAGCAAACCACCUGUCCUCGCAACUGGUGCAUCCGUAUGGUCUCCAGUCCAUAUCCUUUCAUUGACUGGUGGAGCUGGCUCCUUUUAACCUUAACCUUAAUGAUAACAUUUACUUCAUCAAUUAUGCUUCAUCAUUCUCUAACCCUUAUUAUUCACCUGUACACGUAACAGCUCCAAGUGCAUGUUCAGUUUUAAAUAUGAAGUUCAUGCAAUGCACUUUAAUUGUAUCUGUUUAAAACACUCACCUUCGUUAACCUCAUUCUUAACCUCUUCUGUUCAUUGGUACACCUUUGAUGCAGCAUAUUUUCAUCUCCUCAGCUAACACUGGUGCUCCAGUCGCUUUUUAUUAGAGCCUUUUGUCUGCCAUCAGUUUCUCUCCUUUAUGAUAUCUUCCUUCUCUGUUUUGUGUUCUUUUAAUACACUUUUUUUUUAUCCAUCUUGAUCCUGACUCCCUAUCCUAUCCUUUCUCACUCCUUUAUAUUUUUGGAUUUUCUACCACAUUACAACAGACAUCCCAGAAUCUACUCAAAGUAAGUGUGUUUGACAUCUUUAUACAACCACAACUAUAGUGGUCAGCAUUGCACUACUUAAACAAUGGGAUGUGUGUGUGUGUGUGUGUGUGUGUGUGUGUGUGUGUGUGUGUGUGU